UGCUAUGAUUGUUAUAUAACGUUUACGUUAACGGUUAUAUUCUUUGCUCAACCCCUGAACAGGAUAUCCAGUCUUGGUCAGACUUUGCUGCAGCAGUGGAUGCUGGUAAAGAUGUGGUGUCUUUACUUGGACUUGAUGGCAGUCAACAAAAAGGAACACGUAGUAAGGAUUCACCUGAACCCCAACAGAACAAGAAUGAAUUUUGUGACAAUCUCAGAGUUGACGACAUAGCAGACCAACCUGUCCACUUUAUGUUCUCUCACACAAGUCUGAACCAGAAGUUGUUGAACUCAGUUUGUUCCAAUAGUACAGAAA
Long non-coding RNA from Branchiostoma floridae (Florida lancelet), 315 nucleotides. RefSeq lists it as uncharacterized. The record is from RefSeq and is a predicted model, not a curated record. The transcript has 2 exons. NCBI's taxonomy places the organism in Eukaryota, Metazoa, Chordata, Leptocardii, Amphioxiformes, Branchiostomatidae.